AGGAAGUGUGGGGUACAGGGGUGAGGAGGAGGUGUUAGCAGCUUGCUGGUGAAGGAGGGGGUACAGACGGCCUAACUCGUCUUCCUGGGGUGGAAGGCGCUUGGCCUGCUGCGCCCAUGCACGGCUGCACAAGGGGAGCCCAGGCUUAUCACUUCCCUGGAAGAAAAGCACAUUUCCAGCUUCCUGUGCCGAAGAGCGAGAGCCCAGCGCCCUUCGCGCUGCUCAGACCCAGACUGCCUGUGCACGCGAGACGCCUGGGGCCUGCAGAAGAGCUGAGACUUUGCUGCACGACCGAGAGGAAGUGAUUCCAGAAGACCAGCACCUGCAAACUGGAGGCAUCCAGCCCCUGAGCAUACUCAGGACACUUCCAGGGGCCUUCAGACAGGCCUUUUCUGACCAGGAGUCUCCUCACUAUGAUCACCUGUCCUGCACAGAGAGACCUGGACUUCUAGAGAAAAUUGAUGCCUCACAUCUUGAGGACCUUACAGCAAUCCCAAGGCUAGAGCUCCCGGGUCAGCAGCUCAGCCCAUGCUCCGUGUGA
RNAcentral lists this long non-coding RNA (541 nucleotides) under Meriones unguiculatus (Mongolian gerbil). RNAcentral's name for it is "lncRNA (ENSMUGG00000022348.1)". Lineage: Eukaryota; Metazoa; Chordata; Mammalia; Rodentia; Muridae. The record is from RNAcentral.